RNAcentral lists this long non-coding RNA (503 nucleotides) under Nicotiana benthamiana. RNAcentral's name for it is "long non-coding RNA (NBEN_LNC012131)". Lineage: Eukaryota; Viridiplantae; Streptophyta; Magnoliopsida; Solanales; Solanaceae. The record is from RNAcentral.
CUUGCUUCUUGCUCCAACUUAGGAGUAGGGGCUCUAGAGCUUUUUCCGCAGGCUGCUAUGCUAGUUGUAGCGCGGUAGCGCUUUACUAAUAUAAUAGAAAGUCAAGUUAGUGUUAUGGUGCAGCGGAAAUGCAAAAGAGAAGAGCAAAGAUUCCCGACCCAGUGCGGUAGUGCUUUACUAAUAUAAUAGAAAGUCAAGUUAGGGUUAAGGUGCAGCGGAAAUGCAAAAGAGAAGAGCAAAGAUUCCCGACCCAGAGCAGAGCAUGUUAUUGACUCAAGCACAAAUCUGUUGAAUGAAGGUAGCUUGCUUACUCUCAGACACUAGUUAGACGGGAAUCCCUUGACUUCGCUUAUGCCCUUAUUUAUGCAGUAAAGAAAGCAAGUGAGGCGGGCUAAGAUUCCAUUCGAAGUAACGUAACAGGAUUCGAUGUUGCACCAUCUUCCAUUCUUCUCCGGAUUUACCCGGUGAGGGUGGCGCGUGUGAGUCAACGUUGACACUUUCAA